Molecule: ribosomal RNA, 400 nt
Filed under: phytoplankton environmental sample
Lineage: Eukaryota
Description: partial small subunit ribosomal RNA
Rfam family: Eukaryotic small subunit ribosomal RNA
Source: RNAcentral
AGCUCCAAUAGCGUAUAUUAAAGUUGCUGCAGUUAAAAAGCUCGUAGUUGGAUUUGUGGCGCGGCCGUCCGGCGGGGGUCCUUCUAUGGUCUCGUUUGUCCUGGUUUUCGGCCGCUCCUUUCUCGGGUAGAGCGUAAUGGCUGGCAUUAGGUUGUCGGCCGCUUCGCGCCCGUCGUUUACUGUGAAAAAAUUAGAGUGUUCAAAGCAGGCUAUUGCUUGAAUACAUGAGCAUGGAAUAAUGGAAUAGGACUUUGGUCCCAUUUUGUUGGUUUCUAGGACCGAAGUAAUGAUUAAGAGGGACAAUUGGGGGCAUCCGUAUUUCGUUGUCAGAGGUGAAAUUCUUGGAUUUACGAAAGACGAACAACUGCGAAAGCAUUUGCCAAGAGUGUUUUCAUUAAUC